AGAGUUUGAUCCUGGCUCAGGAUGAACGCUAGCGAUAGGCUUAACACAUGCAAGUCGAGGGGCAGCAUGGUCUUAGCUUGCUAAGGCUGAUGGCGACCGGCGCACGGGUGCGUAACGCGUAUGCAACUUGCCUCACAGAGGGGGAUAACCCGUCGAAAGACGGACUAAUACCGCGUACACUCCAUCUUGGGCAUCCAAGGUAGAGGAAAUGAAAUUCGCUGUGAGAUAGGCAUGCGUCCCAUUAGCUAGUUGGUGAGGUAACGGCUCACCAAGGCGACGAUGGGUAGGGGAACUGAGAGGUUGAACCCCCACACUGGUACUGAGACACGGACCAGACUCCUACGGGAGGCAGCAGUGAGGAAUAUUGGUCAAUGGGCGAGAGCCUGAACCAGCCAAGUCGCGUGAAGGAUGACUGUCUUAUGGAUUGUAAACUUCUUUUAUACGGGAAUAACAAGAGCCACGUGUGGCUCCCUGCAUGUACCGUAUGAAUAAGCAUCGGCUAACUCCGUGCCAGCAGCCGCGGUAAUACGGAGGAUGCGAGCGUUAUCCGGAUUUAUUGGGUUUAAAGGGUGCGUAGGCGGCCUGUUAAGUCAGCGGUGAAAUCUAGGAGCUUAACUCCUAAAUUGCCAUUGAUACUGGCGGGCUUGAGUGUAGAUGAGGUAGGCGGAAUGCGUGGUGUAGCGGUGGAAUGCAUAGAUAUCACGCAGAACUCCGAUUGCGAAGGCAGCUUACUAAGGUACAACUGACGCUGAAGCACGAAAGCGUGGGUAUCAAACAGGAUUAGAUACCCUGGUAGUCCACGCAGUAAACGAUGAUAACUGGGCGUAUGCGAUAUACAGUAUGCUCCUAA
This 850-nucleotide ribosomal RNA is filed under the name uncultured bacterium. RNAcentral describes it as "bacterial SSU rRNA". It matches the Rfam family "Bacterial small subunit ribosomal RNA", at positions 8 to 850 of the family's 1533-position model. The record is from RNAcentral.